RNAcentral lists this ribosomal RNA (261 nucleotides) under uncultured archaeon. Its description in RNAcentral is "partial 16S ribosomal RNA". It matches the Rfam family "Archaeal small subunit ribosomal RNA", at positions 717 to 982 of the family's 1478-position model. The record is from RNAcentral.
ACACGACUACAUUAGAUACCCGGGUAGUCCUAGGCGUAAAUGAUGCGAGUUAAGUNUGGGGCAUCUACGAGAUGGCCCUGUGCUGUAGGGUAGCCGUUAAACUCGCUGCCUGGGAGUACGGUCGCAAGGCUGAAACUUAAAGGAAUUGGCGGGGAGCACCACAAGAGGUGGAGGCUGCGGUUCAAUUGGACUCAACGCCGGAAACUCAUCGGGAGCGACAGCAGUAUGAUUGCCAGGUUGAUGACCUUGCUUGACAAGCUG